Molecule: ribosomal RNA, 271 nt
Filed under: uncultured prokaryote
Description: partial 16S ribosomal RNA
Rfam family: Bacterial small subunit ribosomal RNA
Source: RNAcentral
UACGGAGGAUCCGAGCGUUAUCCGGAUUUAUUGGGUUUAAAGGGUGCGCAGGCGGGAGAUUAAGUCGGCGGUGAAAUUUUGCAGCUCAACUGUAAAAGUGCCUUCGAUACUGGUUUCCUUGAGUGUGGAUGAAGUAGGCGGAAUUUGUGGUGUAGCGGUGAAAUGCUUAGAUAUCACGAGGAACUCCGAUUUCGCAGGCAGCUUACUAAACCACUACUGACGCUCAGGCACGAAGGCGUGGGGAUCAAACAGGAUUAGAUACCCUGGUAGU